GACGAACGCUGGCGGCGUGCUUAACACAUGCAAGUCGAACGGAAAGGCCCUGCUUUUGUGGGGUGCUCGAGUGGCGAACGGGUGAGUAACACGUGAGUAACCUGCCCUUGACUUUGGGAUAACAUCAGGAAACUGGGGCUAAUACCGGAUAGGAGCUCCUGCUGCAUGGUGGGGGUUGGAAAGUUUCGGCGGUUGGGGAUGGACUCGCGGCUUAUCAGCUUGUUGGUGGGGUAGUGGCUUACCAAGGCUUUGACGGGUAGCCGGCCUGAGAGGGUGACCGGCCACAUUGGGACUGAGAUACGGCCCAGACUCCUACGGGAGGCAGCAGUGGGGAAUAUUGCACAAUGGGCGGAAGCCUGAUGCAGCAACGCCGCGUGCGGGACGACGGCCUUCGGGUUGUAAACCGCUUUCGCCUGUGACGAAGCGUGAGUGACGGUAAUGGGUAAAGAAGCACCGGCUAACUACGUG
RNAcentral lists this ribosomal RNA (468 nucleotides) under uncultured bacterium. Its description in RNAcentral is "partial 16S ribosomal RNA". It matches the Rfam family "Bacterial small subunit ribosomal RNA", at positions 28 to 507 of the family's 1533-position model. The record is from RNAcentral.